GCCGUGGUUUCGAGUGGUUCCGAAUGGCGCCAAAUCACCAGUUCAGAACAUCUUUCGGGGCUACGACUAGGCGAGCUUGCAGGCUCUCCUAAAGCCGGUGUCGCAUGUUCGAAUCAUGCCGGGGGCA
Molecule: transfer RNA, 127 nt
Filed under: Actinomycetes bacterium
Lineage: Bacteria; Bacillati; Actinomycetota; Actinomycetes
Description: tRNA-Ser
Source: RNAcentral